AGAGCAUCCUUUUAAAGGGAGCUUUUUUUUUUUUUUUUUACAAGUAGCUGAAUUUAAUGACAGCUGUCUUCCUGAUAUUGUUUUGUAUAGUAAGGAGUCUCUUGGGAGUUAUCCAGAAACCAAGUCAGGAAAAGACAAUAUUGAGGAACAAAAUAAAAGCCUUCCUGGACUCACUUACCUAGAGACACAACCAGAAGCGAAAGAAUCAGAAGGAGCGGAUUUCCAAGGCCCGCCACGAGACUGGAGUCUGAGUCUUCCGGUCCAGGAGGGAACCGCGCUCGGCCCCGCAGUCUCCUCCCCUGCCUACUACCCUCCCC
Homo sapiens (human) is the source of this 317-nucleotide long non-coding RNA. RefSeq lists it as uncharacterized. The transcript has 3 exons. Lineage: Eukaryota; Metazoa; Chordata; Mammalia; Primates; Hominidae. The record is from RefSeq and is a predicted model, not a curated record.